AUUGAACGCUGGCGGCAUGCCUUACACAUGCAAGUCGAACGGCAGCACGGGGCAACCUGGUGGCGAGUGGCGAACGGGUGAGUAAUGCAUCGGAACGUACCUUUCAGUGGGGGAUAACGUAGCGAAAGUUACGCUAAUACCGCAUAUUCUGUGCGCAGGAAAGAGGGGGAUCUUCGGACCUCUUGCUUUCGGAGCGGCCGAUGUCAGAUUAGCUAGUUGGUGGGGUAAAGGCCUACCAAGGCGACGAUCUGUAGCGGGUCUGAGAGGAUGAUCCGCCACACUGGGACUGAGACACGGCCCAGACUCCUACGGGAGGCAGCAGUGGGGAAUUUUGGACAAUGGGCGCAAGCCUGAUCCAGCCAUGCCGCGUGAGUGAAGAAGGCCUUCGGGUUGUAAAGCUCUUUCGGCCGGGAAGAAAUCGCACCAGUUAAUACCUGGUGUGGAUGACGGUACCGGAAUAAGAAGCACCGGCUAACUACGUGCCAGCCGCCGCAGUAA
This 498-nucleotide ribosomal RNA is filed under the name uncultured bacterium. Its description in RNAcentral is "partial 16S ribosomal RNA". It matches the Rfam family "Bacterial small subunit ribosomal RNA", at positions 30 to 523 of the family's 1533-position model. The record is from RNAcentral.